Camellia sinensis is the source of this 433-nucleotide non-coding RNA. The record is from RefSeq and is a predicted model, not a curated record. Lineage: Eukaryota; Viridiplantae; Streptophyta; Magnoliopsida; Ericales; Theaceae.
UACUUCUUGUUUCUUAUUCUUAACAAAUAGAUAUUAGCCCUUUGCAACUGCAAAGAGGAUGUCAGAAAGAAGGUUCACUCUGUGAUUGAAAAGUUUGCUGAACAUGGACUUCGAUCUUUAGCAGUUGCUAGACAGGAAGUACCUGAGAAGACAAAAGAUAGUCCAGGGGCACCGUGGCAGUUUGUUGGUUUAUUGCCUUUAUUUGAUCCACCUAGGCAUGAUGGUGCAGACACCAUCAAAAGAGCUCUCAAUCUUGGAGUGAAUGUAAAGAUGAUUACUGGUGAUCAGCUUGCAAUUGGCAAGGAAACUGGUCGGCGGCUGGGAAUGGGAACAAACAUGUAUCCAUCUUCUGCAUUGCUUGGCCAAGACAAGGAUGCAUCCGUUGUGGCCCUCCCUGUCGAUGAGUUGAUUUAGCAGGCUGAUGGAUUUGCUG